RNAcentral lists this transfer RNA (85 nucleotides) under Actinomycetota bacterium. RNAcentral describes it as "tRNA-Leu". It matches the Rfam family "tRNA". Rfam says of the family: Transfer RNA (tRNA) molecules are approximately 80 nucleotides in length. Their secondary structure includes four short double-helical elements and three loops (D, anti-codon, and T loops). Further hydrogen bonds mediate the characteristic L-shaped molecular structure. tRNAs have two regions of fundamental functional importance: the anti-codon, which is responsible for specific mRNA codon recognition, and the 3' end, to which the tRNAs corresponding amino acid is attached (by aminoacyl-tRNA synthetases). tRNAs cope with the degeneracy of the genetic code in two manners: having more than one tRNA (with a specific anti-codon) for a particular amino acid; and 'wobble' base-pairing, i.e. permitting non-standard base-pairing at the 3rd anti-codon position. RNAcentral also lists the same sequence under 1 other name. Lineage: Bacteria; Bacillati; Actinomycetota. The record is from RNAcentral.
GCGAGCGUGGCGGAAUUGGCAGACGCGCUGGGUUUAGGUCCCAGUGGCCCACAAGGCUGUGGGGGUUCGAGUCCCCCCGCUCGCA